This 488-nucleotide ribosomal RNA is filed under the name Veillonella parvula. Its description in RNAcentral is "bacterial SSU rRNA". It matches the Rfam family "Bacterial small subunit ribosomal RNA", at positions 28 to 486 of the family's 1533-position model. Lineage: Bacteria; Bacillati; Bacillota; Negativicutes; Veillonellales; Veillonellaceae. The record is from RNAcentral.
GACGAACGCUGGCGGCGUGCUUAACACAUGCAAGUCGAACGAAGAGCGAUGGAAGCUUGCUUCUAUCAAUCUUAGUGGCGAACGGGUGAGUAACGCGUAAUCAACCUGCCCUUCAGAGGGGGACAACAGUUGGAAACGACUGCUAAUACCGCAUACGAUCUAACCUCGGCAUCGAGGAAAGAUGAAAGGUGGCCUCUAUGUAUAAGCUAUCACUGAAGGAGGGGAUUGCGUCUGAUUAGCUAGUUGGAGGGGUAACGGCCCACCAAGGCGAUGAUCAGUAGCCGGUCUGAGAGGAUGAACGGCCACAUUGGGACUGAGACACGGCCCAGACUCCUACGGGAGGCAGCAGUGGGGAAUCUUCCGCAAUGGACGAAAGUCUGACGGAGCAACGCCGCGUGAGUGAUGACGGCCUUCGGGUUGUAAAGCUCUGUUAAUCGGGACGGAAGGCCUUCUUGCGAAUAGUUAGAAGGAAUGACGGACCGGAAUAA